This 1403-nucleotide long non-coding RNA is filed under the name Rosa chinensis. RNAcentral's name for it is "sRNA RchiOBHm_Chr5g0014301". Lineage: Eukaryota; Viridiplantae; Streptophyta; Magnoliopsida; Rosales; Rosaceae. The record is from RNAcentral.
CUAUAUUGACAUCUUGAUAUCAACUUCAAGGGAUAAAAAGACCAUAGAAGUAAACAAGUGAACAUUGUUUAAAAAGAAAAAGACAACUAGAGGGGCACAUAUAGAUUCAGAAAUUUAUAUCCUUCUAUCAAGCCCAUGUUUAUUUGCAAAUUCAUAUGUAGAUUCUUAUUCAAUACUAGCAAACUUAUUAUCUAAACAAAGCAGGGACAAAGAAAAGAUAGAUCCAAUUUUGUUCCACCUUCCUCUUUCGCAUUCGGAGAUUUUUCUGACCCAGAAAAGGAGAUAGGAAGCAGGUACAAAAGUUACAGAUGUAGCGACAGAUCAAGGUUUGUCUCGCCUUCUUCCACAUCAUAAGGCAUUCCAGAACCAGAAUUGGAGUUGUCCUCCUCUUUAACAAGAAGAAGCUCUCUCUUCUGAGGACUAUCAGUUUCCAUCUCAUCUGAGUUGAUCUUGAUUGACCAGCUUCACCUUGGCCUGAAGAUUGACUGAGAUUGCAAUUAAAGAAAUCAAGAAUAUUACGCUCCUUGAAGGCAGGCGACUGAUUUGAGCUGAGAUCUGGAUCAAAAGUUACAGCAUCCACAAGAGAAGGAAGCUUGCCACAGUAGUUAUUCUGAAAGCAUGGCAAGGCAUUUUCAGAAAGGGAUGGCAUACUAUCCAUAAAAUUUUGAACUUGAUCAGUAUUGAACUGACAAACUCCAUUUGAGAGCAAAUGAGAUUGAUGGCUCCCAGCACCUUCAGAAAAGUUCUCAGGAUGGGAGAUGGUGAGAGGUUGAGUAUUGCUAGUAACGCUUUCUGAGUUGCUGAAAUGGCCAGGAAAGUUCCAGCUCUUCAUUUCCUUGAUCUCUUCCUGAUGGACCCAAAGAUGCCCCUCUACAGCCUGGGGAUUGUUGAACACGCUUUGGCAAUAGAAGCACUGUUUAUGUGACCAGUUGCACCACAUCUUCCACACUUCCGCAUAGACUGGUCUUCUCCAUGAGAAUGAAUUCUCUCCUUGCCUUUUUUGGAUCACCUAGAAGAUUCCCAGAAAUCUUCUAAUGCACAUUCUUAAGCCCUCCAGCAUCUCCCAUAACUUACAUCCACACCAGAUCGUUCGGCAAGUCCACAAUAAUAUCUUUUGGUUUAUAUUGGCAUGAAACACCCUUGUAAUUUGACGUUAUAUAUUGACCAAUAAGAGUAUUGCUUGUGGUCAUGACGAGAAGCAUCUGAUGAACAAGAGUGCAGACUAUCAUAACAUCUUAGGAUAAUAUACUCAAACUCUGGGUGACUUGGUUGCACGGAGUUGCCAUGUACAAUUGUAGUGCACUGAACUUCAAAUCAAGAAAAUUUUGAUUUUAGAAUUGAAUCAACUCAUCUACGAUAUAAAACUUUUCUCGAGUCCCAGAAUCAGAUGCAAUUGACUUUUU